This 637-nucleotide ribosomal RNA is filed under the name uncultured Actinomycetes bacterium. RNAcentral describes it as "bacterial SSU rRNA". It matches the Rfam family "Bacterial small subunit ribosomal RNA", at positions 74 to 723 of the family's 1533-position model. The record is from RNAcentral. Lineage: Bacteria; Bacillati; Actinomycetota; Actinomycetes.
CCUGCUUUUGUGGGGUGCUCGAGUGGCGAACGGGUGAGUAACACGUGAGUAACCUGCCCUUGACUUUGGGAUAACUUCAGGAAACUGGGGCUAAUACCGGAUAGGAGCUCCUGCUGCAUGGUGGGGGUUGGAAAGUUUCGGCGGUUGGGGAUGGACUCACGGCUUAUCAGCUUGUUGGUGGGGUAGUGGCUUACCAAGGCUUUGACGGGUAGCCGGCCUGAGAGGGUGACCGGCCACAUUGGGACUGAGAUACGGCCCAGACUCCUACGGGAGGCAGCAGUGGGGAAUAUUGCACAAUGGGCGGAAGCCUGAUGCAGCAACGCCGCGUGCGGGAUGACGGCCUUCGGGUUGUAAACCGCUUUCGCCUGUGACGAAGCGUGAGUGACGGUAAUGGGUAAAGAAGCACCGGCUAACUACGUGCCAGCAGCCGCGGUGAUACGUAGGGUGCGAGCGUUGUCCGGAUUUAUUGGGCGUAAAGGGCUCGUAGGUGGUUGAUCGCGUCGGAAGUGUAAUCUUGGGGCUUAACCCUGAGCGUGCUUUCGAUACGGGUUGACUUGAGGAAGGUAGGGGAGAAUGGAAUUCCUGGUGGAGCGGUGGAAUGCGCAGAUAUUCAGGAGGAACACCAGUGCCGAAGGCG